Nymphaea colorata (pocket water lily) is the source of this 2557-nucleotide RNA transcript. It is a transcript of the gene named L10-interacting MYB domain-containing protein, with no coding region annotated. Lineage: Eukaryota; Viridiplantae; Streptophyta; Magnoliopsida; Nymphaeales; Nymphaeaceae. The record is from RefSeq and is a predicted model, not a curated record. The transcript is spliced from 8 exons.
GGAGAUGGGGAAAAGGGAGGGGGGAAGAAAAAGACGAGACACGGAAUCUCGGGAAACGAUUCCCUCUCGUGACCCGAAUGUGAAAAAACGAGGAGGAAACAUUUUCCUUCACAAAAAAGACGAAGGGGAAAGGGUUCUCAUCUUCCCUUCCUUUUUCCACGUAAAAAUCUGACAUUUUCCCCGUCCGCAAACGCCUUGCAUCCUCCUUACCCUAGGCCACCCUGCUCUCUCUCCCUCCCUUCCUCUUUCUCUCUCUCUCUGUGGGACAACCGGGGAGCUGCAAAGCUUCUGUUAGGAACACUGGCUAAAGCAGCUGCCUAAUUUCUGCUAUGUAUUUACAGGUGCAUGCCCAAAUUUUAAGAAAGGAGACAAUGGAGAGCUCAGCUGUAGGUCGUAACAAGAAGAAUAUAAGUUGGACACCACUUAUGGACCGUUACUUUAUAAACCUCAUGAUAAAAGAAGUGCAAAGAGGUGCGAAGGUAGAAAAUGCAUUCGUCAAGAAUGGUUGGAGCCGAAUGGAGAGGUUGUUUCAACAAAAAUUUGGGACUAUCUACAACAAGGAUUGCAUGAGAAAUCGUCUAAAAACUUUAAAGAAGCAAUAUAACAUCAUAAAAUCCCUAUGUGAACAAAGUUGGAUUGUUUGGAACCAUGAGUCUCAAAUGAUUAUUGUAAAUGAUGAGGCUGCAUGGGAGGCUUAUAUUAAGGAUCAUCCUGAAGCACAGAACUAUAGACACAAGCAAAUGGCAUACUAUGAAGAUUUAUGUGUUGCAUUUUCACGUAUCCCUGCUGAUGGGAAAGUCAAUAGUGUGGGAAAUUCUUCUGGGGCUAAAACCAUCAUGUGUGAGGAGGAGGCUCUUGAAGCUGCCACAGACCUACAAUCUUCACCUGUAUCUGAUGCUCAUGAAUAUUUGCUUGAUGAUGGACAUGGUUCACAAUCAUCAAAAUCAGGCAGCGAAGGAACAGAAAGCCCAGCCACAACCAGUCACGAUCGAAAGAAAAUGUACUGGACACCACUUAUGGACCAUUAUUUUAUAAGCCUCAUGGUAGAAGAAGUCCGCAAGGGAACCAAGAUUGACAACACAUUCAACAAACAUGGUUGGAACCGAAUGGAGAGGGCAUUUCAACAAAGAUUUGGCACUCAUUUUCACAGGGACUACCUGAGAAAUCGAUUAAAAACUUUAAGAAAGCAAUAUAAUGUCAUAAAAUCUGUGUGUGAAUACAGAGGGUUUGGUUGGAAUCGCGAGACGCAAAUGAUUACAGCGACUGAUGAGAGUUUGUGGGAUGAAUACACCAAGGAGCAUCCUGAAGCACGUCAAUACAAAGAUAAACCUCUUCCAUUUUUUGAGGAGCUAUGUGCUGUAUUUUCUCGCACAGUUGCUGAUGGAAGAUAUAGCAUAGCAGGAGUUAGCUUUCGCAGUAAGGAUGGCAUCCCGUCGAUGGAUGGUAUGGGAGCUUCGGUAGAUCCCUUAUCUUCACCUGUAUCCACUGGCCAUGAGCAUGCGGCUAAUGGCAUGCACGACUCAUCUGAAUCAGGAGAGGAUAAAGACAUAAGAAGCAAGAGGCGGAAACGUCGUUCUGUGACACCACACAGUUUAGAUCAUUCUAGAAAAUCCCAAAUUGCUGGAGAUGAUGUGGUAAAAGCUCUUCGGCAGAUGGCAGCUGCAGUUAAUAGCUUAGCAAAUGCUUUUAAAGAGGUCAAAAACUGUCAAUUGGUAGAAAAGUAUAUGUCUGCUCUCAGUGAAAUACCAGGCAUGGAUCCUGACCUUUUUUUAGCUGCUUGUGAUCUCCUGGAGGAGGAAAAGAAAGCUAAAACCUUUUUGGCAUUGAAUGUGGAGCUAAGGAAGAGAUGGUUGAUGAAAAAACUUCGUCCGUUCUAAUUACAUUCUUGGUAGAUAUCUGCUGCCUCUCCACUCUCCCUUCUUUCAGACUACACAUGUAAUUCUAACAUCUGUAUCCUACAGCAGUCUUGGAUUAAUACGAUCCACUUUUGCAGAUGACGUGGGUGGUAUUAAUCCAAAAAUGCAUUGCUACAUGUUGUAAAGGUGUCGUAAUGGAGAGCCAUUCCCAGGGUUGGAGACCUGGCUUUGCUGGUUUAAACUGUCACAUCUCCGGUUGCUUAUCCCAUUGAACAGCUUAAAAUUUCAGGAUAAAAAUCCAUCGAAUCUCAGGAACUACCGGUCCAUAUUCCAGCUAGUGAUGUCAAGAUUUGAGGUUUGGGUUGGAUAUGCAGCUGAACUGUGAGCCUGAUUAACUGGGGUUUGUAGAUAAAGAUUAUUCUGGUCUGACUGCUUGUUUUCAGUUAUAUGAUCAGAUCUGACAGGAAAAAUUACCACUAUGUGAUCCGGCCGAUUUGAGCCGUUUGUAGUUUGAUCAGAUUUGGUUUCAGCUACGAAAAUUUUUGGAUGUGGAGAAGUAUUUUUACCAUAUAUAACAAAGGCGAAGCUUCUGACAGAUUUACUUCGUAACGCGCUUCUCAUAAAAUAUGCAAAGCGAGAAUUGUACAGCCUCUCAAGUAACCAUAUCAGCUUAUUGAUGAGACUUGGGCAGUUAGCAGGAC